Long non-coding RNA from Metopolophium dirhodum (rose-grain aphid), 242 nucleotides. RefSeq lists it as uncharacterized. The transcript is spliced from 4 exons. The record is from RefSeq and is a predicted model, not a curated record. Lineage: Eukaryota; Metazoa; Arthropoda; Insecta; Hemiptera; Aphididae.
AUUAAUUUCUUAAACUUUUGAACCUUCUUAUACCUUAUACUGAUUCAAAAUGGUUUACUUCAAGCAGCAUAUACUAACGCUUACAUGUUUAGUAAUUACAGUUUGGGUUAUGCAUGCAUCUGCUACAGUGAAUGUAGGAUUAGCAUGCGCUGAUUGUGAAGCGAUUUUAAGUUCGUGUGGAUUUAGAAAUUGUAUAGAUGACACAAUGAAUGUUGAAAUAAGCGGAAUGAAUUAUGCAGGUA